AUAGUGCUUUCUCCGUCCAACAAAAGAUGUCUCAAUUUUGUCUAAAUUUGAAUGCAUUUAUAAAUUAAAUCAAGUGUAGAUACAUCUAAAUUUUGACAAACUUAAGACAUCUUUUGUUGGACGGAGGAAGUAACAU
Molecule: non-coding RNA, 136 nt
Organism: Brachypodium distachyon (stiff brome)
Lineage: Eukaryota; Viridiplantae; Streptophyta; Magnoliopsida; Poales; Poaceae
Source: Rfam